RNAcentral lists this ribosomal RNA (657 nucleotides) under Microbacterium sp. HPC1337. RNAcentral's name for it is "bacterial SSU rRNA". It matches the Rfam family "Bacterial small subunit ribosomal RNA", at positions 33 to 703 of the family's 1533-position model. The record is from RNAcentral. Lineage: Bacteria; Bacillati; Actinomycetota; Actinomycetes; Micrococcales; Microbacteriaceae.
AAACUGGCGGCGUGCUUAAGGAUGCAAAAUCGAACGAGGAAAGAGAAAGCUUGCUGGGUGGUUCCAUGGCGAACGGGUGAGUAACACGUGAGUAACCUGCCCCGGACUCUGGGAUAAGCGCUGGAAACGGCGUCUAAUACUGGAUAUGACCCAUACCGGCGUCGGUUGUGGGUGGAAAGAUUUAUCGGUUCGGGAUGGGCUCGCGGCCUAUCAGCUGGAUGGUGAGGUAACGGCUCACCAUGGCGACCACGGGUAGCCGGCCUGAGAGGGUGACCGGCCACACUGGGACUGAAACACGGCCCAAACUCCUACGGGAGGCAGCAGUGGGGAAUAUUGCACAAUGGGCGAAAGCCUGAUGCAGCAACGCCGCGUGAGGGAUGACGGCCUUCGGGUUGUAAACCUCUUUUAGUAGGGAAGAAGCGAAAGUGACGGUACCUGCAGAAAAAGCACCGGCUAACUACGUGCCAGCAGCCGCGGGUAAUACGUAGGGUGCAAGCGUUGUCCGGAAUUAUUGGGCGAAAAAACUCCCAGGCGGCUUGUCCCGUCUGCCGUGAAACCCAGGGCUCAACCUGGGCGUGCGGGGGGUACGGGCAGGCUAGAGUGCGGUAGGGAAAUUGGAAUUCCUGGGGGUACCGGUGGAAUGCCCAAUUUCCGAGA